This 120-nucleotide non-coding RNA is filed under the name Kineosphaera limosa. The record is from RNAcentral. Lineage: Bacteria; Bacillati; Actinomycetota; Actinomycetes; Micrococcales; Dermatophilaceae.
CAUACUCGCGGGGUCAUUGUCGCCCGCGGGGUGCGGAAGCCGGUGUGAGUCCGGCACGGUCGCGCCACUGUGAGGACCCCUGUGGGUCCGAGUCAGACCCGGCUGCGCGGGAGACCCCUU